AUUGAACGCUGGCGGCAGGCUUAACACAUGCAAGUCGAGCGGGGUGAUGGUGCUUGCACUAUCACUUAGCGGCGGACGGGUGAGUAAUGCUUAGGAAUCUGCCUAUUAGUGGGGGACAACAUCUCGAAAGGGAUGCUAAUACCGCAUACGUCCUACGGGAGAAAGCAGGGGAUCACUUGUGACCUUGCGCUAAUAGAUGAGCCUAAGUCGGAUUAGCUAGUUGGUGGGGUAAAGGCCUACCAAGGCGACGAUCUGUAGCGGGUCUGAGAGGAUGAGCCGCCACACUGGGAAUGAGACACGGCCCAGACUCCUACGGGAGGUAGCAGUGGGGAAUAUUGGACAAUGGGGGGAACCCUGAUCCAGCCAUGCCGCGUGUGUGAAGAAGGCCUUAUGGUUGUAAAGCACUUUAAGCGAGGAGGAGGCUCUUUUGGUUAAUACCCAAGAUGAGUGGACGUUACUCGCAGAAUAAGCACCGGCUAACUCUGUGCCAGCCGCCGCCGUAA
Molecule: ribosomal RNA, 503 nt
Filed under: uncultured bacterium
Lineage: Bacteria
Description: partial 16S ribosomal RNA
Rfam family: Bacterial small subunit ribosomal RNA
Source: RNAcentral